RNAcentral lists this ribosomal RNA (253 nucleotides) under uncultured bacterium. Its description in RNAcentral is "partial 16S ribosomal RNA". It matches the Rfam family "Bacterial small subunit ribosomal RNA", at positions 524 to 776 of the family's 1533-position model. The record is from RNAcentral.
UACGUAGGGUCCGAGCGUUGUCCGGAAUUACUGGGCGUAAAGAGCUCGUAGGUGGUUUGUCGCGUUGUUCGUGAAAACUCACAGCUUAACUGUGGGCGUGCGGGCGAUACGGGCAGACUUGAGUACUGCAGGGGAGACUGGAAUUCCUGGUGUAGCGGUGGAAUGCGCAGAUAUCAGGAGGAACACCGGUGGCGAAGGCGGCUUUCUGGACGGUAACUGACGCUGAGACGCGAAAGCGUGGGGAGCAAACAGG